GACGAACGCUGGCGGCGUGCUUAACACAUGCAAGUCGAACGGAAAGGCCCUGCUUUUGUGGGGUGCUCGAGUGGCGAACGGGUGAGUAACACGUGAGUAACCUGCCCUUGACUUUGGGAUAACUUCAGGAAACUGGGGCUAAUACCGGAUAGGAGCUCCUGCUGCAUGGUGGGGGUUGGAAAGUUUCGGCGGUUGGGGAUGGACUCGCGGCUUAUCAGCUUGUUGGUGGGGUAGUGGCUUACCAAGGCUUUGACGGGUAGCCGGCCUGAGAGGGUGACCGGCCACAUUGGGCCUGAGAUAUGGCCCAGACUCCUACGGGAGGCAGCAGUGGGGAAUAUUGCACAAUGGGCGGAAGCCUGAUGCAGCAACGCCGCGUGCGGGAUGACGGCCUUCGGGUUGUAAACCGCUUUCGCCUGUGACGAAGCGUGAGUGACGGUAAUGGGUAAAGAAGCACCGGCUAACUACGUG
This 468-nucleotide ribosomal RNA is filed under the name uncultured bacterium. Its description in RNAcentral is "partial 16S ribosomal RNA". It matches the Rfam family "Bacterial small subunit ribosomal RNA", at positions 28 to 507 of the family's 1533-position model. The record is from RNAcentral.